RNAcentral lists this long non-coding RNA (234 nucleotides) under Capsicum annuum. RNAcentral's name for it is "long non-coding RNA (CANN_LNC010078)". The record is from RNAcentral. Lineage: Eukaryota; Viridiplantae; Streptophyta; Magnoliopsida; Solanales; Solanaceae.
UUGAAAACAGGCACAGUAUAAUAAUAUCAUCAUCGAAGCAAAUUCAUUUCUCCUAAAGGAAGUACUAGAAGGGGAGUGGGUAUAUACCUUGAUUAUUGCAGAUAUAGCAGUAGACAUAAAAUCAAACCUUAUAGGAAAGUAAUCUAAGAUUAAACAUAUAUCGAGAGAAGGCAAUCAUAGAAUAUUACAUAGCAAAUCUAGUAAUAGAUAAAGGUAAUUGCUGCUACUUGCAUU